This 493-nucleotide ribosomal RNA is filed under the name uncultured bacterium. RNAcentral describes it as "bacterial SSU rRNA". It matches the Rfam family "Bacterial small subunit ribosomal RNA", at positions 28 to 520 of the family's 1533-position model. The record is from RNAcentral.
GAUGAACGCUAGCGGCAGGCUUAACACAUGCAAGUCGAGGGGUAUAUGUCUUCGGAUAUAGAGACCGGCGCACGGGUGCGUAACGCGUAUGCAAUCUACCUUUUACAGGGGAAUAGCCCCAGAGAAAUUUGGAUUAAUGCCCCAUAGUAUAAUUGAAUGGCAUCAUUUAAUUAUUAAAGUCACAACGGUAAAAGAUGAGCAUGCGUCCCAUUAGUUAGUUGGUAAGGUAACGGCUUACCAAGACAAUGAUGGGUAGGGGUCCUGAGAGGGAGAUCCCCCACACUGGUACUGAGACACGGACCAGACUCCUACGGGAGGCAGCAGUGAGGAAUAUUGGACAAUGGGCGCAAGCCUGAUCCAGCCAUGCCGCGUGCAGGAAGACGGUCCUAUGGAUUGUAAACUGCUUUUAUACAGGAAGAAACACUCCGACGUGUCGGAGCUUGACGGUACUGUAGGAAUAAGGAUCGGCUAACUCCGUGCCAGCAGCCGACGG